Molecule: ribosomal RNA, 497 nt
Filed under: uncultured bacterium
Lineage: Bacteria
Description: partial 16S ribosomal RNA
Rfam family: Bacterial small subunit ribosomal RNA
Source: RNAcentral
GAUGAACGCUGGCGGCGUGCCUAAUACAUGCAAGUCGAGCGAACAGAUGAGGAGCUUGCUCCUCUGACGUUAGCGGCGGACGGGUGAGUAACACGUGGAUAACCUACCUAUAAGACUGGGAUAACUUCGGGAAACCGGAGCUAAUACCGGAUAAUAUAUUGAACCGCAUGGUUCAAUAGUGAAAGACGGUUUUGCUGUCACUUAUAGAUGGAACCGCGCCGCAUUAGCUAGUUGGUAAGGUAACGGCUUACCAAGGCAACGAUGCGUAGCCGACCUGAGAGGGUGAUCGGCCACACUGGAACUGAGACACGGUCCAGACUCCUACGGGAGGCAGCAGUAGGGAAUCGUCCGCAAUGGGCGAAAGCCUGACGGAGCAACGCCGCGUGAGUGAUGAAGGUCUUCGGAUCGUAAAACUCUGUUAUUAGGGAAGAACAAAUGUGUAAGUAACUAUGCACGUCUUGACGGUACCUAAUCAGAAAGCCACGGCUAACUACGUG